ACUGGUACUGUGAUACAAAAGGUUUGUCAGCACGAAGCUGUUCUUGACAUAGGAGGUCUUAUCUGGAAAUGGGUGACAGACAAACAAUUUUAGCAGUCUCUCAGGCAAUCCUGUAGAUGUAAAUUUGUAGGUGUGUGGCAGGCGAAUGCAGCGACCCUGGCUGUAGAUACCCGUGUCAAAUAAAAACUCUGUUGAAGAGAUUGAGGGGAAUAGUUCACACACUCUUUUGUUCAGUCUGAUAGUUCUGUUUAUCACUCUUGCUAGAGUUAUUAGUGGUGUUGCUCCAACUAUAGCAUGUCUCAUUGGUAAUGGUGUAAUUAUUCGGAGUCCAAUCUUUUUGCUGCAGGUACAAAAUGGUCGUGGUUCCAUAUAUAUAUCAGAGUUACACUCUGACUUGAAGAAAUAGACGGGAUGAGACGGGGGCAUCUCCAGGUUUAGGAUUGUGCUGAGGACAGUAAUUAUGUCCUGGCGAAUCUGCAGACACAGAUUGUAUAUGUCUUCAAUUUUAUAUCCUGGAACUUCAACUGGGAGAUCAAAAUCCAGAAUGACAUUAUAGAUUGGCAGAUGAGGGUUGAAGUAUUCGUGCCUGGAAACCAUGAGAUUGUCCUCAACCGUGUUGCUCGUGCAACCAUUAACACAGUAGGUCAAAAGUUCAGUGAUUCUCACGUCUGUUAAUUCAUCUAAAUUAAUUGAGUGGGGGAAAAUGACGUGCUUCUUCCAGUAGUCUUCUAUAGAAUCUGUUGCCACCAUCACAAAAUAAGUCUUGUUUUUAAAUUCACUUCUGUACGUGGGACAAAUUGGCUUUUCUGGGAACAGAAUGUCCUUUGGGUUAUCAAGUUCUUGUGGAGAUAAGGAUGCUAGUUUCAAUAACUCUUUCAGGCUGGACUCUGAGCUAUAAAAAGGAAAAUCCUCGUUGAUGGAAUCAAACAAGGCUGUCAGGUCCGAUGUCUGUCCAAACCAGGCCUGGAGAGUACCUGGGGUAUCUCCAUACGACCCUAAGCUGGCUCCAGGUACACGGACAACCUUUGUCAAUAGAUGGGUGUGAAUAUAUUUUUCCUUGUUAUAGUAGCUGGACAUUUUAUCCAAAAAUUCAUCACAGAGUUUCAGAUGAAGAAUUUCAGAACUGUAGGUGUUGAUAUUGUCCGGUGAGGUCUUUCCAAUAAAUUCCAGGAAGGCAGUUUUGUUAAAACAUGCAUAAAAUGCCAGGUACACAAAUUGUACAAUGUCCUUGUUAGACAGCAGUAGACCCCCCCUAAUUUCAUUAAUCAUCUGGUCAAUCUUUUCAUUUUCUAGAGUGUCUAUGUUGAGUUUAGUUUCUACAUAUUCUGCAAACAAAGGCACACUGUCCAGGAUAGAGCUUGAGGAAAAGAACAGCCCAAGUUCCUGAAGACUGGACACAUCAAUGAGAGAGUGUCCAAGCUCCCCGCAGAAAAGUCUAGCCAAGUGCAUGAGGGUCUCAACGGUACAAGCAUGUUUAUAAAAGUAAUAAGAGGCGAUGACCAGGGUAAAGGUCAAGUCAUCCUGUCCAAAGGUUGUAAUGAACCAUUGUGUGGAAGAUGUUGUCUUUAACAGUUUUCUCAAAAAAUUGAUUAAUUUUGACUGGUACCAUCUAACCAUUUCCAGAAAAGUGCCCUCUUUCUCCCCUCUGUUAUCUAGACUCAUUAUCAAUUUUAAAAUUGGCAAUAUUUGAGCUUUGAGGUGAGAAUAAUCUAGGCAAGAUGCUACCUGCCCGCUGGUUAGAGGCCUGCCAUUAAACAAAAACUGUUUGGCAUCAUCGCAGGAAAUGUCAACUUUAAACAGUUCAAAGUAUUUUUUUUCCUUAUUGGGCCUGUUUAGAGGUAGGCACAUAGAGAUGCUGCUGAUGUUUUUUAGACCAGAAAUACUAAAGCAGUCAUGAAUCAAAGAGGUGAAUUUAUAUUCAGUUGCGCCCUCGUGUGUGAUUAAAUUCACAACAGCGUCUAUAACAUCAAUAUCUGUAGAAAAUAUACACCUGACAGUAUCUGGCGAUACAAGGCAUGAAUUGCUGUGGUAUCUGGCCAUUUGGGAAACCCGGUGUACCUUACAAGAGGCUCGCUGAUGUAGAAACAGAUGAGAGAAUGGAGAUGGAGAUCAGGCUGGGUAUGCCCCCGGGGGUGUUGGCGGCCGACCUGAUUAGGAGCACCAAGGAUAAGCAGGUCCUGGAGCAACUCUAUCUUCUGGCCGUGCAGGCAAAUAAUUUAACAGAGCACAUCAAGAGAUUUACCUUGGGUGAGAUACCAGAAGAAUGUAAAAAUGUUACCAGAUCUCAAUUGGAAAAAUUAAAGUCUGUCCAACACAUAAUUUGGAACACAAUGAUAUCAUUGGCUGCUGGGGCAAUAAGUGUAGAUGAGGCCACACUUCCAGCCCUGCUGGACAAGAGGGCAGAGGAAACGGUGGCUCUUCUCGAGAUGGAGAAAAUAGCCACAGCAGUCAAACUGGAUGAGACGGCCGCAUGGGCCACUGACAUUGCUGGUAUUGUAUCUAGCCAACCUUUGGCCACGCCCCCAAGUGAGUCACCCGACCAAAUAGCACUGAAAAAAGCCACACAACUUUCAAAUGCUGUUUAUUGAAACUGGUCACACACAUCAUUUUGUGUGCAGUUUUAUUAAUUCACCCCACUUGACCCAAACCCCCGCCCCUCCCUAGAAGGCUUUCCUGGCCUCUGUUUGCUGUAUCGCCUAUUCUUUUCUUCAGCAAUUUCAGACUUGUCUGCAGCUUCGUGCGGAACCCUAAUAAACUGUACAACAGCUAAACCCGGUAUGUCCAUUGAGCAUUCUUUGCUUGUUAACAGCUGCAGCAGGGAGGGACUAUAAGAUUUAGAAAUAAAUACUAUUUGGGCUAUUCUGAUGCCUUGAGGGAUAAUUAUGGGUUCUGUUGUCAGAUUAUGGAGUGUCAAUGAAAAUUUUUCAGCCAUGUUGAUACCGGUAGGUGUCACUAGUAUUCCUCUACAGGCGAUGCCAGACCUGCCAAGUACCACUGGGGUAAAUUCUGGAGCAAUGCCAGAUAAAUGGGUCAAAUCAAACUGGAAGGUGUGUCGAGUCUUUGGUAGCAGACACAGGUCCUCAGAGGCUCUGAAAUCAAAUCCUGCAUCUUCGUCAUAUACUGGGUUCUUUAGGAGGUGGUCAUCUGUUAUGACAGGAACCGUGUAGCUCACAGGCAGGAUAUAGAUGGUCAAUUGGCCCGGUUGAAUCUCCACCGUGCUCUGAGCCGCCGUUGCCAGGAUAACAGAGAUUUCACCCCGGUAGCCGGGGUCAAUCAGUCCAGUGUGGCCGGUGACGAGACUGUUGGCACAAAUCGCAUUUAGGAUCAAGGGAAAUCCGCUUGUUUUCUGGAUAAACAGACCAAGAGGCACUUUUGUUCCUUCGCUGGGUUGGACAGAUAUAGGUGUGAUGUUUUGAAAUUUUAGUCUGGUCCCAGGAUCCAGGUCUGUGCCUUGUGUAGUUAGGGCCCAUCCAUGAGUGCACUCUAAAAAGUGCUUGGGCACAAAGGAGUAUUCCACUUUCAUGGCAAAUAAUUGCUCUGUAAAUGAUCUCCAAUAUAUAAGACGAGAGGAGACUUUUCUUGGUAAAGUCUUGGGUCCUGUACCACCUAUUUUAUAGCUGUUUAAAAAUGCAGGUCCUGGUCGUGGUUCUUUUUUUGAUGUGUGCCUUUGUCUGUGGGAUCACCCAAGAAACCACACCUACUCCAAAACCUGAUGACUCAUCUGACUUCUAUGGUCACGGAUGCAACGCUGACACAUACGUCCCUCAGUGGGGGAGUGUCUCUAGUGUGUUGGCAAUAAUUAAUGGGUCUAUAGUCACAGUGUCUAGUGGUGUCUUUUUGAUCUACGCAUGCUUUUCAAAAUUUCUUACUACCAUGACCUCAUAAUGUUGGGAGGAUAAUAUUUAAGCAGUGCCCUGGAGACAACCUGCACCCUUGCUCAACUUGUUGUUAUUCUCCCUGAGCGAUGGCGUCCAAAAAGCCUGAUAAAACCUAUGAAGAAAUGGUCAAGGAAGUAGAAAGGCUUAAACUGGAGAAUAAAACACUUAAACAAAAGGUUAAGUCUUCAGGCGCUGUCUCAUCAGAUGAUAGCAUCUUGACAGCUGCCAAGAGAGAAAGUAUCAUUGUCUCUUCAUCCAGAGCACUAGGAGCAGUGGCUAUGAGAAAAAUCGAGGCUAAAGUCAGAUCCCGGGCGGCCAAAGCUGUUACAGAGCAGGAACUAACCUCUCUUCUCCAAUCGCUGACCCUGAGAGUUGACGUGUCUAUGGAGGAAACUACUGUGGGUGCCAGCGGAGGGAUUGGCCCAUCCUCUCAAACAGAGACCAAGAAAAGAAGACCCAGGUCCAAAUCAAGACACAGACAUGAUCAUGAAUAAAAAGAAACACUUGAAUCUAUAA
RNAcentral lists this non-coding RNA (4394 nucleotides) under synthetic construct. The record is from RNAcentral.